UACGUAGGGACCGAGCGUUGUCCGGAUUCAUUGGGCGUAAAGAGCUCGUAGGCGGCUGUUCAAGUCGAACGUGAAAACUCGGGGCUCAACUCCGAGCCUGCGUUCGAUACUGGACGGCUAGAGUCUGGUAGGGGGAUCUGGAAUUCCUGGUGUAGCGGUGGAAUGCGCAGAUAUCAGGAGGAACACCGGUGGCGAAGGCGGGUCUCUGGGCAGUAACUGACGCUGAGGAGCGAAAGCUAGGGGAGCAAACGGG
Molecule: ribosomal RNA, 253 nt
Filed under: uncultured bacterium
Lineage: Bacteria
Description: partial 16S ribosomal RNA
Rfam family: Bacterial small subunit ribosomal RNA
Source: RNAcentral